Molecule: ribosomal RNA, 253 nt
Filed under: uncultured bacterium
Lineage: Bacteria
Description: partial 16S ribosomal RNA
Rfam family: Bacterial small subunit ribosomal RNA
Source: RNAcentral
UACGUAGGAGGCGAGCGUUGUCCGGAAUUACUGGGCGUAAAGCGCGCGCAGGCGGCUAUCCAAGUCAGUGGUGAAAGCCCGGAGCUCAACUCCGGAACUGCCAUUGAAACUGUUUAGCUGGAGUAUGAGAGAGGUGAGUGGAAUUCCCAGUGUAGAGGUGAAAUUCGUAGAUAUUGGGAAGAACACCGGUGGCGAAGGCGGCUCACUGGUCCGGUACUGACGCUGAGGUGCGAAAGCGUGGGGAGCAAACAGG